UACGUAGGGGGCUAGCGUUGUCCGGAUUUAUUGGGCGUAAAGCGUGCGCAGGCGGUGAUGUAAGACAGGUGUGAAAUCCCCGGGCUUAACCUGGGAACUGCAUUUGUGACUGCAUUGCUGGAGUGCGGCAGAGGGGGAUGGAAUUCCGCGUGUAGCAGUGAAAUGCGUAGAUAUGCGGAGGAACACCGAUGGCGAAGGCAAUCCCCUGGGCCUGCACUGACGCUCAUGCACGAAAGCGUGGGGAGCAAACAGG
Molecule: ribosomal RNA, 253 nt
Filed under: uncultured bacterium
Lineage: Bacteria
Description: partial 16S ribosomal RNA
Rfam family: Bacterial small subunit ribosomal RNA
Source: RNAcentral